AACGCUGGCGGCGUGCUUAACACAUGCAAGUCGAACGAUGAAGCCCUUCGGGGUGGAUUAGUGGCGAACGGGUGAGUAACACGUGGGCAAUCUGCCCUUCACUCUGGGACAAGCCCUGGAAACGGGGUCUAAUACCGGAUAUCACUCCUGCCUGCAUGGGCGGGGGUCGAAAGCUCCGGCGGUGAAGGAUGAGCCCGCGGCCUAUCAGCUUGUUGGUGAGGUAAUGGCUCACCAAGGCGACGACGGGUAGCCGGCCUGAGAGGGCGACCGGCCACACUGGGACUGAGACACGGCCCAGACUCCUACGGGAGGCAGCAGUGGGGAAUAUUGCACAAUGGGCGGAAGCCUGAUGCAGCGACGCCGCGUGAGGGAUGACGGCCUUCGGGUUGUAAACCUCUUUCAGCAGGGAAGAAGCGAAAGUGACGGUACCUGCAGAAGAAGCGCCGGCUAACUACGUGCCAGCAGCCGCGG
Molecule: ribosomal RNA, 471 nt
Filed under: Streptomyces acidiscabies
Lineage: Bacteria; Bacillati; Actinomycetota; Actinomycetes; Kitasatosporales; Streptomycetaceae
Description: bacterial SSU rRNA
Rfam family: Bacterial small subunit ribosomal RNA
Source: RNAcentral